RNAcentral lists this ribosomal RNA (1373 nucleotides) under uncultured bacterium. RNAcentral's name for it is "bacterial SSU rRNA". It matches the Rfam family "Bacterial small subunit ribosomal RNA", at positions 28 to 1381 of the family's 1533-position model. The record is from RNAcentral.
GAUGAACGCUGGCGGCGUGCCUAAUACAUGCAAGUCGAGCGAACGGACGAGAAGCUUGCUUCUCUGAUGUUAGCGGCGGACGGGUGAGUAACACGUGGAUAACCUACCUAUAAGACUGGGAUAACUUCGGGAAACCGGAGCUAAUACCGGAUAAUAUUUUGAACCGCAUGGUUCAAAAGUGAAAGACGGUCUUGCUGUCACUUAUAGAUGGAUCCGCGCUGCAUUAGCUAGUUGGCAAGGUAACGGCUUACCAAGGCAACGAUGCAUAGCCGACCUGAGAGGGUGAUCGGCCACACUGGAACUGAGACACGGUCCAGACUCCUACGGGAGGCAGCAGUAGGGAAUCUUCCGCAAUGGGCGAAAGCCUAACGGAGCAACGCCGCGUGAGUGAUGAAGGUCUUCGGAUCGUAAAACUCUGUUAUUAGGGAAGAACAUAUGUGUAAGUAACUGUGCACAUCUUGACGGUACCUAAUCAGAAAGCCACGGCUAACUACGUGCCAGCAGCCGCGGUAAUACGUAGGUGGCAAGCGUUAUCCGGAAUUAUUGGGCGUAAAGCGCGCGUAGGCGGUUUUUUUAAGUCUGAUGUGAAAGCCCACGGCUCAACCGUGGAGGGUCAUUGGAAACUGGAAAACUUGAGUGCAGAAGAGGAAAGUGGAAUUCCAUGUGUAGCGGUGAAAUGCGCAGAGAUAUGGAGGAACACCAGUGGCGAAGGCGACUUUCUGGUCUGUAACUGACGCUGAUGUGCGAAAGCGUGGGGAUCAAACAGGAUUAGAUACCCUGGUAGUCCACGCCGUAAACGAUGAGUGCUAAGUGUUAGGGGGUUUCCGCCCCUUAGUGCUGCAGCUAACGCAUUAAGCACUCCGCCUGGGGAGUACGACCGCAAGGUUGAAACUCAAAGGAAUUGACGGGGACCCGCACAAGCGGUGGAGCAUGUGGUUUAAUUCGAAGCAACGCGAAGAACCUUACCAAAUCUUGACAUCCUUUGACAACUCUAGAGAUAGAGCUUUCCCCUUCGGGGGACAAAGUGACAGGUGGUGCAUGGUUGUCGUCAGCUCGUGUCGUGAGAUGUUGGGUUAAGUCCCGCAACGAGCGCAACCCUUAAGCUUAGUUGCCAUCAUUAAGUUGGGCACUCUAAGUUGACUGCCGGUGACAAACCGGAGGAAGGUGGGGAUGACGUCAAAUCAUCAUGCCCCUUAUGAUUUGGGCUACACACGUGCUACAAUGGACAAUACAAAGGGCAGCGAAACCGCGAGGUCAAGCAAAUCCCAUAAAGUUGUUCUCAGUUCGGAUUGUAGUCUGCAACUCGACUACAUGAAGCUGGAAUCGCUAGUAAUCGUAGAUCAGCAUGCUACGGUGAAUACGUUCCCGGGUCU